UAAGGAAUAUUGGACAAUGGAGGCAACUCUGAUCCAGCCAUGCCGCGUGAAGGAAUAAGGCCCUAUGGGUUGUAAACUUCUUUUAGACGGGACAAAACCCCUUUACGUGUAAAGGGUUGAUGGUACUGUCAGAAUAAGCAUCGGCUAACUUCGUGCCAGCAGCCGCGGUAAUACGAAGGAUGCAAGCGUUAUCCGGAAUGAUGGGGUUUAAAGGGUGCGUAGGCGGACUAAUAAGUCAGUGGUGAAAGCCUGCAGCUUAACUGCAGAAUUGCCAUUGAUACUGUUAGUCUUGACUACAGUUGAGGUAGGCGGAAUGUGUCAUGUAGCGGUGAAAUGCUUAGAUAUGACACAGAACACCGAUUGCGAAGGCAGCUUGCUAAGCUGUAACUGACGCUGAGGCACGAAAGCGUGGGGAGCAAACA
RNAcentral lists this ribosomal RNA (422 nucleotides) under uncultured bacterium. RNAcentral describes it as "bacterial SSU rRNA". It matches the Rfam family "Bacterial small subunit ribosomal RNA", at positions 355 to 774 of the family's 1533-position model. The record is from RNAcentral.